Long non-coding RNA from Hypanus sabinus (Atlantic stingray), 1747 nucleotides. RefSeq lists it as uncharacterized. The record is from RefSeq and is a predicted model, not a curated record. NCBI's taxonomy places the organism in Eukaryota, Metazoa, Chordata, Chondrichthyes, Myliobatiformes, Dasyatidae. The transcript is spliced from 4 exons.
UGAAAGAGGGGCUGGGGCUCUGAGCACCGUCAAACCUUCAGUGUACUUACUAGUUUAAGCCUAUUGGGCGCACAAUGUUUAAUUAUAUCUUGUUGGAAAAUAUCAUCUGGUUUGGAAGUGGUUUGCCAUUGCCUUCUUCUGGGCAGCGCCUUUACAAGAUGGGUGACCCCAGCCAUCAUCAAUACACUUCAGAGAUUGUCUGCCUGGCAUCAGUGGUUGCAUAACCAGGAUUGGUGAUCUACACCAGCUGCUCAUAUGACCAUCCACCACUGUCUCCCAUGGCUUCAAAUGAUCCUGAUCGGGUGCUAAACAAGUGCUACACCUUACCCAAGGGUAACCUGCAGGCUGGCAGAGGGAAGGAGUGCCUUACACCUCCUAUGAUAGAGAUGUAUCUCCACCCCACAACUCCACAGAGCUAAAUCUUUUUUACGCUUGGUUCGAUAUCACCAACACUGAACCCCCGAGGAGAGCCGCUGAAGCAACCUGCACCUUAGUCGUUUCUGAGGUUGAAGUACACAGGUGUUUCCAACGGUGGACGGUCGCAAGGCUGCAGGACUGGACGGCAUCCCAGGGCAGGUACUCAACUGGCAGUCUCUGGAUACCAUGCAUCUCUGAUGACUGUUGGAGCCUUCUUCAGAAAUGAAAUGUUCUUCCUUCAAAAUUCUACAAUCCCUGGACUAUCCAGAAAAACAAUUUGUACAAGCUCUCGCUGCUGUCUCUCCAACAGGAUGGGUAAGAAAAUAUUCUUUGAGAUAAAAAUGGAGUACACAGUCUCUACUCAGAACCUGCUUCUGUUGUUGUAGUCUAUACAGUUUGCAAACCUCAUCAGAAAAUUGCAGGAGUCACAUAAGUGACGUGUUGCAUGAAAACUGAUAACACUUUACAUUUCCACUGACUUCCAUAGAAUCACAGAAAAGUACAGAGCAGAAACAGUCCCUUCAGCCCAUCUAGUCUGUGGCAACCUGCCUACUCUCACUGACCUGCACUGGGUCCAUAGCCCUCCAGUUCUCUAGUAUCCAUGUACUUAAACAAACUUUGCUAAAAACAUUAAAAUCGAGUUUGUAUCCACCACUUGUGCUGGCAGCUCGUUCCACGUUCUCACCACCCUCUGAGUGAAGAAGCUCCCCCUCGUGUCCUCCUUAAACUUAUAAAGCUUGUUAUUUGCAUAACAGCUUACAGAAGUGCACAAUCCUCACUUAGCAAUUCAGUUUUCCAGUGUGUAGUGAAUGAUAACUUCAUGCUAUAUACAAGAAUAUCGAGGACAUUAUUUGGUAUUUAGAUUAAAAACUCUUAUAUUGGCUCCUUAAGGUUGUCACAGCCAGAGGAGUCAAUGGGGUAAGCUGUCACUACCUAUUAAAUGCUUUGGAUUCAUCAGCUGUGUGGAGAGGCCUACAGCUUGCUCUCCAUAUCGUACUGCUCUAGCUUGUGUAUCACGUAAACAGCUGGGGUACAACAUCCAUGCUCCACCCUGAGCAACAUAGGGCCUCAGAUAAAAGUGGAACUCAGGCUUCAUACCACAAAACUAAAAGACUGAGCGAGAUAAAGGACAUUAUGGUCCCCAGAAACAGCUACCAUGCAGGAUCUACUUAUAUCUGAAUGAUUAAUGUGCUGACACCUGUUACACAUUUCCAUCUCUUAUUACUUCUGUCAUUAUUUGUUGUGUCUAAAAUAAUCAUUUAUUUGCUGUAUUUUAGAGGAUGAACAAAGAUACCUUAACACAUUAAGCCACAAAUUGAUGAAUUUUAAC